UAUCUUCCCUUUCAGUAUUUUAGUACUGACAGCAGAACAUUGAACAUGGUAUUGGGGCUGAAGUGGAUUCUCUUUGUUGUUUUUUUUCAAGGUGUGCAUUGUGAGGUGCAGCUUGUUGAGUCUGGUGGAGGAUUGGUGCAGCCUAAAGGGUCAUUGAAACUCUCAUGUGCUGCCUCUGGAUUCACCUUCAAUACCUAUGCCAUGAACUGGGUCCGGCAGGCUCCAGGAAAGGGUCUGGAAUGGGUUGCUCGCAUAAGAAGUAAAAGUAAUAAUUAUGCAACAUUUUAUGCUGAUUCAGUGAAAGACAGAUUCACCAUUUCCAGAGAUGAUUCUCAAAGCAUGCUCUACCUACAAAUGAACAACCUGAAAACUGAGGACACAGCCACAUAUUACUGUACAAGAGACACAUCACAUUUAUUCUUUUUUUGGGGACACUCCCAUGUACCAUAG
Molecule: non-coding RNA, 450 nt
Organism: Arvicanthis niloticus (Nile rat)
Lineage: Eukaryota; Metazoa; Chordata; Mammalia; Rodentia; Muridae
Source: the annotation of a RefSeq genome assembly